AUUUUGUAAGAAUUCUUUCCAUUUCUUUUCUAUUUUAAAGCAAUUUAUAAUCUGUAUUUCUGAACACCGAGUUGAUACUCUUAAAAACAAUACCAACAAACCCAUAAGUCUAAUUGUAACAUCUUUAUGAUUCACGAAUGAACUUUGCUGCUUAAUUCUGUUUCGGUAAAUGGCAAUUCUUCACCUGCUGAGUAAGCAAAUACCUAGGCUGGUGCAGUUUUAAAAACAUUCAGAGUUAACUUAGUCUUUUGGGAUUGAGUUUGUAGCAAUGCCAAAUUGCUUUGAAUUUGGUCUUCCCUUCCCACUUGGUAACGUAUCACUCUCCUACUCGAAAAAUCUAGCUUAGAAAUAGGCGUUGUAAUGUUACCGGGGGAUGAAGGAGGUCAACAGGUUUGUGGUGGAGAAUGGGAAGACAGGGAAUCAAGCAGCUUUGUAUUCUCAGCCCUAAAUAACUAACUGUACCCCAAGUCCUGUUCUGUUCUGUUCUGUUUUGGCCCAUGGGAAAGAAAAAUAGAAGAGAGGAGAGAGCAGUGUCAUGGCAACAGGAAGCCCAGGGAAAGAGAAGUGGCAGCAACUGAGAGGGCCCGGGCAACACUGACAGAGGGCCUGACCACUGCCGAUAGCACUGGCCACGUUUGCCUGUGAGGACAGAAGGUGACCCCAGCAGCCACGCUGCAGGGCUGUGUUUAUCCAGCAGCAGUCAGCGCUUGAGCAGCCCCAGCUGUGAGCAGGGUAGACCACACCCAUCAAUGGAAGAAGCAUCCAAAACCUGGCUAGGGUUUGUGGAGGAGGUGGUGGGUGCUGGAUACAAAGGGGAUUCCAAGAACAUGGGUGCUGCUCACCUGUCCUUGAAAGGUUGAGAAGAGCAUUCAUGACUUGAGCUGUCCAAGUAAGGCGCCAAGAAGGAACUAUCCAAAUGAUGGCUAUAAACGGACAGAAGAAAAGAACAGAUCUUCAUUAAAUCAUUACUCCACAGUUUUCCCAUACUGAACCAUUUCUGGAAAUGUUUAUAGGUACACAAAAUAAGGCAAUAAAAUGCUCUUAUCAAUGAUACUUCAAACAAUGUGAUGUUACCUCAUGGUGACAAUCCAGGAGGAAUUAUACAAUUAGAACUUUCCAUUUGCUUUCAUUCUAGACAAAAGUUUACUGUGUCUUAGUCCAUUUGUGCUGCUGGGACCAGAAAAACCAUAGAUCGGGACACAACACUUGUUUCCUCCGGAGGGACCAGCAGCCAGGUGCCAUCUUGGAAGCAGUGAGCAGGCUCUCAGCAGACACCGAACCCACGAGUGCCCUGGUCUUGGACUUCCACCCUCUAGAACUCCCAGGGUAACCAGCAGCUGAAAUCACAAGAACUUAUCUACCACCCCACAACAUAAUUUACUUCAUUAGAAAGUUUUCCACAAGCUGGCAUUGGAAACAUAGGCUUCUAGAAGUGAAAGAAAUCAAUUUAUCCCCUGCUCUGAGCCAUCCUGCCUUAUGUGGCUGAUUUCUAAACCACCACACAGGCCUUGUUACAUUCUCCCCACCGAGCAUUCUUCCAACUUGUGUAUAAUAAGGAGAUGAAGUUGAAAGAAGACAUCAAUGAACAUAGUAGUUUUUUUAAUCUAAAAAAUACAAACAGGCUUUAAAAGACCAUAUGUAAGUCUUCUUUAGUUUCCAAACCACAAUAGAUGUACUAGGCAUGAUUAUUCUAAGGUCCCUGCAAUAAAUGAAAUCCGAGGUAGUUCCAACAAAUGAUGAAUUCAUGGUGGAAAAAUAAUUUCACUCAUUUGCUGUCUUAUCGUAGGUUUUGUUUUCUCUCCAAAAAAUACAUAGUUGGGGUGAGGGGGCAAUACAGAAAAAAAAGAAACGGGGGAUGAUUGCAAUGUUUACAAAGCAAAAAGGAAAUUAUUUGGUUCUGUGAAUGCAAAAUGUUUUGACAGUAUUUCCGAUUUUUCAGGACAUCUGGUGUAGAUGAUAUCAAGGGCAUUAGAAGUAAAUAGCUAAAUUCUGUUAUUAGUUCUGUUACUAUUCUACCAUAUGGAAAUAGUUUUAUUUUUCCCCUCAUUUUAAUUCAUUGUUGACUUGGGAGAGAAAAAAUCCAAUUAAAAAUGACGUGUGAACUGCUUGUCAUCCAACUCUUGGUUGCCUAACAUUGUGGCCUAUUUUUUGUAUAGAGACCCAGUUCUUGAAUUAGCCUCUAUAAAUAUGUUUCCAUGUAUUGGCUUGAAUUUUGUAUAGAAAUCAGAGUUGUAAAAAAUUAAAGGUCUGGAAAACUCAGUCUUGUUAAAAUGUCAAUUCACUCCAAAUUAAUUUAUGUAUAGGUUCAGUGCAAACCUAAUAAAAAUCUUAGUAAGUUGUUUUGUGGAUAAUGACAAGCUGAUUCUAAAACUCAUAUUUAAAAGCAAAGAAACCUCAAUAGCCAAAGCAAUUUUGAUAAAGUAACAAAGAUAGAACCCUCACACUACAUAAUUUCAAGACUUACUGUGAAGCCACAUUAAUCAAGACAGUAUGGUGUUGGUGAACGCAUGAAUCAAACUGAUGGGGUCUAGACUCAAUGACUUCCCAAUAAUAAUGAACAAACCUACAGCCCAGAUAUCUGUUUCUAAAUGCCAUUUUACAAUAGAAGAAACCAGACCUCCUUGUAGAAUUAGUUGAAUCCCAGGAUGGGACAGGGAAAACUUAAGAUAAGCCUAGAGCAUCUAGUGGUGCCAGAAAGUAAGGAAGUGCUCAAAACAGAAUGGGGGCAUGUCCAAAGCUCACAGGAGCCAACAUGAAAGAGCUCCCAAUGUCCCAAGUUUGAGCAAGUUAAUGAUAGAUUAUUUUUAUCAAGAGAAUACAAUAAGCAUCCAUGAGUCUAUGACAUAAAGAAAUGAAUGAAUGAAUGAAUGGGAGAUAACAGCUCUCCCAAUGAAUAAAUGUAGAAAGAAGAUGGAAAUAUGAAUUCACCAAUAGAAUACCACAGUAAUAAUUGUUGCAGGCAAGAUGUACCAACGAAAGCCAAAAUUCGUGGGUAAAACUUUGAGGAUAAAGAUUAUAUGUGCCUAGUGCAAAAUUAUCUCCUUCAAGAUACCCAUUAAUUGCUAAAGGAAAAAUAGUAAUUUUAAAAAUGGAAACACCUGGCAGAUGCCAUCUCAGCCAAGUGAUCAAGAUUAACAUCACCAGUAAAAAGACAUACUGACAUCCCAUACUUCCUGAUUUGAUACACUAAGAAGGGCUUAUCAUUUCUGUGGUACUCUUGGCCAACAAUGUGCAAGUAACAUUUAUUCAUUGAAACACAUUAGGCAGAACCAAAUUGCAGGACAUUCCUCAAAAUAGCUGUGCAAUACUCUUCAAAAGUAUCAGGUCCUGGAAGACAAAGAGAUACUGAGGAACCAUCACAGAGUGGGAGAGGACAUGGAGAUAUAAAAACUUUAACUGUAAUGUGGAAUCCUACAUUGGAUCAUGGACCCGAAAGAGAACACUGAUGGGAAGACUGAUGAAAUCUGAGUAAGUCUGUAGUUUGGUUUAAAGAAUAAUAACAAUAACGGUUUACGUGCUGACUCCUUAAUAAAAUUCCCCUAGUUACUGUAAUGUCUAAAAAUGAAGCCCCCAUGGUGGGCUACUGUGACUAUUCACUGCAUUUAAGAAUAAAGAAUAAUUAAGGAUGUGUGAAUAGAUGGUAAUAAGUUAAUAACUCAGAUGGUGCUGCUAAUACAUAACAACCCAAGGGGACAGCAUCAUGUAACGAAAAUAUUUUCACACUUCAUAAUCUAUUGAACUCCUCUGUGUUUCUCUCUGGCCUCCCAAUCUGUUGUUCUCUCUCUUUUUCUUUCCAUCUGUCUCUUUCUUUCUCUCCCCCUCUACUUUUACUCAUACCUCUGCAUUAUGUUCAUAUACAGGAUAGAACUGAAGUAUAUUUUUAAGUAACUGAUAUUGUUAUCAAGUCCCAGAGCUUCUCUAUUGAAGCUUUUAAAGAGUUUCUGUCUUCCAAAAUAAAAAGCUAAAGCUGCAUUGUGGUGAUUGUUCUUCCAUGUAAGUCUUAAAUUGACAUAGCACGUGUGAGAUUACUGGCUCUUGGUAGGAAAUGUUUUCUUCUCUAUGGCAAAAAUCUUAGAAGUCCAUUCAGAAUGAUGCUGUCAGAAUGUAUUUUCAUGGGAUGCUUUGAAAUAGACAAAAAAAAAACUAACAGCACACAGCACACAAAGAUUUUAUUCUUUAACAUUGUAAAUCAACUCAGUUUUUACCUUCUUGUUCAUAAUCAUGGUGCAAUGUAAUACAAUAUAUAGAUGGCCAGUUAAAAUAGGAGUAAUUUCAAAAUUUGAUCAUUCUUUUUCAUAGAAGAGUACAAUUUUUACUUGCAAAAAAAGAGUUAAUCAAAUUUUGUUACAUUUCCUUCUCCAUCUCCACUACAUUUUCAGAAAAAAAAACAAAUUAUAUUGAUUGUUAAUAUGGUACAGAUUAGAGAGACAAGAGGUGCUCCUUGAGUUAGCUACCCCAUAAUUUAUUAAAAAAUUAAUUUCAAAUGGAGCUUGAGCACUUUCAAAAUCUGGCUGUCAUCCUAAACACCUUCUCCGGGGGAUGCAAACUGUUAUUUUUGUUUUAUUUUGCUAUUAAUUUCCUUAGUUGAAUUACCUCUAAUUUAGCUCAGAGAGAGUCUGAUCAAAAAAGAUCAUAAAGAUGAAGAAAGAUAGGAACCUAUGCUUAGAAAGUGAAAUCAAAUACUAUAUAGCAUUUCUCAAAUAUAUUAGUAUUAGGUUUCCUAAUCUAUUUUUCAUUCAUUUCCCAAUUCUGCUUAUAUCUAGCCCUGGACAGAAGUGAACACCAAAUAUAGGAAAAGAGAGUAAACUCCAGGUGUGUGCACGUAAGUAUGCAUGUGUUGUGUGCAUGGGUUGGAGGAGUGAAGCCUGGACUACAGAAAUAUUAUUCUAUAUUUAGAAUAGCAGGCUGAUUGAAAUACCCCAGCUUUGUGCAGAGCUCUCAACUACAGUUUGCACUAAGGAACAACCAAAAUAACUAGACACUGGAGGAAAUCUGAAAUGGGAAACAGAAAGCUCAAGAUACAAACUUCUAUCCCAUAGCAAAGAGAGAUAAUUCCAGUAACUUAAGGACACUUCAACCCUCCAAUUAGUCCCUCCGAAAAAUACAAAAAGAUUUUUUGCAUUCAUAAAGCAAGAAUAGGUGAGCUUUCACAAAAUCAAGUUUGCUCAGAUUCUAAAAGGUUCAAAUGAAGAGUUGGAAAAUACAUUUAAGGGAAUCUAUAAGAACAACAAAAAAAAAACCCUGAGACCAUGAUUAUGGAAGACAUGAUAAGGGACAUAGAGAUGAAAUCAGAAGGUCUCCAGCAAAAACGGGUGGCUGCCUACUCAACAUCAACUCUCUGCUUCCUUCUUAUUAAUAUUCAGGAACUUCUGAUGGUUUCUCCUUAUCCCCUUCACCCUUCCCUCCACUCUCUGACUGAGCCACAGGAAGCACAGAUGGAGAAAGAACAACCAGGUUGGGAUCUGAGGGUGAAAGCUACAUGCUAAAGGUGAUGACUCCGGAAGAGGGACUGACCCUGGAUUUUUACAACAUCAUGGAAUUGCCACACCAGACCAAGACUUCUCCCCUAUAGGUUUCUAAUUACAUGAAAAUUUAAAACCAUAUUUUGUUGAAUGAGCCACUUCAGUCAUAUUUCUGUUUAUCUGGAAGCAGAAAUAAUGGUAUCUAGAAUAAUCAGAUAUUAUCUUAAAAUAAUACCAUCUAAUACAACAUUCAAGAUCCAACUAAUAGAAAAGAAUAAAGAAGGAAGAAAAGGGGGAAGAGAGGGAGAGAGGAAAUAGAUGAGGGAGUCCCAAAGAACAAUAAAAACAAUUUCCAAAAGAUAAAGGGAUGCAAUUGUCUUAUAUUUGGAAAACUGUCCCAAGGGCUGGCGCAGUUAAUCACAUCUCCAUAUUUUGUACAACAAGAAAACAAGACAUCAUCUUAAAAGGUCCCAGAGGGGGGGAAAAAAGCAAGUAAUACAGACAAAUAUAAAAAUAGAAUUGAAGAAAAAUUUUAAACUAGAAAUUUUAGCCAGAAUGUCUAAUAAAACAUUUUCAGACAUACAUGGAUUUAGAAAGUUUGUAUUUCCUAUAACCUUCCUUAGAAGUCACAUCAGAAUGUACUUCGGCAAAACAGUAUAAACCAAAAAAAAAAAAGGCAAUUCAAAAAAUAUUCAACAAAUCCAGAAAAGUAGUGAAAAACAGUUUUAUGUUGAUUGUUCUCUCAUUCUGCUGCAGAGCCAUCAGUCGCGAUUGAAGCACAGAAAUGAAAGGUAAUUAGAAACUCUUGGAUGGAAGAGAGUUACAAAAUACAGCUAUGAGAUAAAAAGUAAAAAUUAGAAUAGAAGGUCAGUGGGUUUUCAAAACAAAUAUAGUAGGUUCUAAGUGACAUUUUAUGUAACAAAUAACUUAGUGGAAUGGUAGAACAUUAUUUGGAAUAUGCUGGGGAUUGCAUAUAUGUUGCACUUCACAAAAAAUAAAAAAGACAACCAGAAUGCCAGAGAAUAAUUUUUUUAAACCCACCAAAAUGU
Molecule: long non-coding RNA, 6511 nt
Organism: Gorilla gorilla gorilla (western lowland gorilla)
Lineage: Eukaryota; Metazoa; Chordata; Mammalia; Primates; Hominidae
Exons: 3
Source: RefSeq, a predicted model, not a curated record